UGUAAACCUUUUCAUUGAUGACACCUCAACAAAUGUCAGUAAAAUAUGGCAACCAAUGCAUUGUGCCCAAAUGCAAUUAGCAGGUUUUCCUUUCCGAUUUCGUAACAAUGAGAUUUAUUCCAAUUUUCUUGGAGCUUCUGAGCAUGCCUCAGUGUUGAGCAUUUCGAAGUUAAUUCUGCAGGACAUUGAAUCUACUCAACAAAAUCCAGUUGAGACAAUUGAUGCCGAUAUGAAAACCGGCAUUGCAAUCAAGAUGGAAGUGGCUUCAUUGAUCGCUGAUUUCAACAUGCUUUCUCUAGC
This is a long non-coding RNA of Magallana angulata, 300 nucleotides long. RefSeq lists it as uncharacterized. NCBI's taxonomy places the organism in Eukaryota, Metazoa, Mollusca, Bivalvia, Ostreida, Ostreidae. The transcript has 3 exons. The record is from RefSeq and is a predicted model, not a curated record.